AUGGUGUAACCAUCUCUUGACUGUCUCGGCUAUAGACUCGGUGAAAUCCAGGUACGGGUGAAGACACCCGUUAGGCGCAACGGGACGGUAAGACCCCGUGAAGCUUUACUGUAGCUUAAUAUUGAUCAGGACAUUAUCAUGUAGAGAAUAGGUAGGAGCAAUCGAUGCAAGUUCGCUAGGACUUGUUGAUGCGAAAGGUGGAAUACUACCCUUGGUUGUGUGCUGUUCUAAUUGGUAACUGUUAUCCAGUUUCAAGACAGUGUUAGGUGGGCAGUUUGACUGGGGCGGUCGCCUCCUAAAAGGUAACGGAGGCGUACAAAGGUACCUUCAGUACGGUUGGAAAUCGUAUGUAGAGUGUAAUGGUGUAAGGGUGCUUGACUGUGAGACAUACAGGUCGAACAGGUGAGAAAUCAGGUCAUAGUGAUCCGGUGGUCCAGUAUGGAAUGGCCAUCGCUCAACGGAUAAAAGCUACUCCGGGGAUAACAGGCUGAUACUGCCCAAGAGUUCAUAUCGACGGCAGUGUUUGGCACCUCGAUGUCGACUCAUCUCAUCCUCGAGCUGAAGCAGGUUCGAAGGGUUCGGCUGUUCGCCGAUUAAAGAGAUACGUGAGUUGGGUUCAAACCGUCGUGAGACAGGUUGGUCCCUAUCUAUUGUGCCCGUAGGAAGAUUGAAGAGUGUUGCUUCUAGUACGAGAG
RNAcentral lists this ribosomal RNA (695 nucleotides) under Mycoplasmoides pneumoniae. RNAcentral describes it as "bacterial LSU rRNA". It matches the Rfam family "Bacterial large subunit ribosomal RNA", at positions 1996 to 2689 of the family's 2925-position model. Lineage: Bacteria; Bacillati; Mycoplasmatota; Mycoplasmoidales; Mycoplasmoidaceae. The record is from RNAcentral.